AAGCAGCUGCAAUUCAAGUGUCACAGUGCAUGCCUUUUUGGCUCAGCAGUUGAUAGUUCUGCUUCGUGCUACUCUCCUUCCCCAGACUCCUGGGACCAUCGCAUAGAGGGUGCUUGAGACAUGCUGCACUGGACGAUGCACACACCCCAUCUCUCCAACAUGACUGUAAGCCCCUUUAGUUUUACAAUAUGCAAAACCUUAGCACAGAGCUCUACGCAAUUAAUAUUGACCAAUGUUCAUUGAUAAUAAGGUUCUAUAAAAUUUCAGAGGCCACCAGGAUGCAUCACAGUCCUGACCCCAAUGCAGGAGACUGAAAGUCACCAAGGACUGAGACAUGCUGUCGAGCCACAAUCAGAAGAGAAACUGGAGUUGAAGAAGAGCCAGAUGAAUACCUCUGAGAACCUGCCAAUCCAAGAAUAUUGCCCGUGGAUCAAGCAGAGUUUGGGUCAAAGUGUUUCAGGAAAAGGAGCAUCAUGCGUGAAGGUCCCAACAUGGUACGGUUGGCGUAUUUGAGAAUGGAAAUAAGAUCACUGUAAAGAACAGCCCAGUUUGAGGUUGCAGAAGUACAGAGAGCCCAGAUUGUAGAAGGCCUUGUAGACUUCAGUGAGGACUGGGGUAUUUAUUGUAAGGACAAUGAGAAACCACUGACAGAUUUCAAAACAGCCAUGAUUCCCUAAACAUUUAAUCAUUAAAAGAUCAGAUUGGUUAUAUUAUGGAGACUCAAUGAGAAAGAGUAGAUAUAAAGCAGAUCAGUUAGAAAGUUAUUCCAGGAGUCCCGUUGGGAUGUGGUGCUGUCUUGGUGGUAAUAAAAAUAAAGACAAUUUCACAGAUUUAAUAAGUGCAUGGGAAGUCAAAUUGAUAUGGUAUUGUGGUUACUGAUCAGACUUCAAUAAACCAAAAGGCCGUGGUGCCAAGGGCCAUCCCUAGAACCAGCCUGUAGCAUUCAUGCCCCAGCCUGCUCUGACUACAAAGCUGAUGCUCUAUAAAAAUCCAAUCUUCUUCCA
Molecule: long non-coding RNA, 1004 nt
Organism: Pan paniscus (pygmy chimpanzee)
Lineage: Eukaryota; Metazoa; Chordata; Mammalia; Primates; Hominidae
Source: Ensembl